AACGAACGCUGGCGGCAUGCCUAACACAUGCAAGUCGAACGAUCCCUUCGGGGAUAGUGGCGCACGGGUGCGUAACGCGUGGGAACCUGCCCUUAGGCUCGCAAUAACUCAGAGAAAUUUGAGCUAAUACCGGAUAAUGUCUUCGGACCAAAGAUUUAUCGCCUUUGGAUGGGCCCGCGUUGGAUUAGCUUGUUGGUGGGGUAAAGGCCUACCAAGGCGACGAUCCAUAGCUGGUCUGAGAGGAUGAUCAGCCACACUGGGACUGAGACACGGCCCAGACUCCUACGGGAGGCAGCAGUGGGGAAUAUUGGACAAUGGGCGGAAGCCUGAACCAGCAAUGCCGCGUGAGUGAUGAAGGCCUUAGGGUUGUAAAGCUCUUUUACCCGGGAUGAUAAUGACAGUACCGGGAGAAUAAGCCCCGGCUAACUCCGUG
RNAcentral lists this ribosomal RNA (433 nucleotides) under uncultured bacterium. RNAcentral describes it as "partial 16S ribosomal RNA". It matches the Rfam family "Bacterial small subunit ribosomal RNA", at positions 29 to 507 of the family's 1533-position model. The record is from RNAcentral.